AGUUUGAUCAUGGCUCAGAUUGAACGCUGGCGGCAUGCCUUACACAUGCAAGUCGAACGGCAGCACGGGAGCUUGCUCCUGGUGGCGAGUGGCGAACGGGUGAGUAAUACAUCGGAACGUACCCUGAAGUGGGGGAUAACGUAGCGAAAGUUACGCUAAUACCGCAUAUUCUGUGAGCAGGAAAGAGGGGGAUCGCAAGACCUCUUGCUUUAGGAGCGGCCGAUGUCGGAUUAGCUAGUUGGUGAGGUAAAGGCUCACCAAGGCGACGAUCCGUAGCGGGUCUGAGAGGAUGAUCCGCCACACUGGGACUGAGACACGGCCCCAGACUCCUACGGGAGGCAGCAGUGGGGAAUUUUGGACAAUGGGCGCAAGCCUGAUCCAGCCAUGCCGCGUGAGUGAAGAAGGCCUUCGGGUUGUAAAGCUCUUUCGGUGGGGAAGAAAUUGCUUCGGUUAAUACCUGGAGUAGAUGACGGUACCCGCAUAAGAAGCACCGGCUAACUACGUG
This 505-nucleotide ribosomal RNA is filed under the name uncultured bacterium. Its description in RNAcentral is "bacterial SSU rRNA". It matches the Rfam family "Bacterial small subunit ribosomal RNA", at positions 10 to 507 of the family's 1533-position model. The record is from RNAcentral.